This 2964-nucleotide long non-coding RNA is filed under the name Equus caballus (horse). RNAcentral's name for it is "lncRNA (ENSECAG00000059829.1)". The record is from RNAcentral. Lineage: Eukaryota; Metazoa; Chordata; Mammalia; Perissodactyla; Equidae.
GUUUUGGUUUGCAUACAUAGUAGAUGAAGCAGUUUUUUCAUACUUUAAACAAACAAGUAAUAAUUCCGACCAAAAUGAAGGUAGUGAUUUAAGUGCUGAACAGAGAAAAUUCAGUAAAAUUCUGCUCUCAGAGGCCUCAUGGACUAGUUGUGUCGAUAGGCAAUUUCAACAUGAGAUCAUUGGAGAGGAAUAUAUCAUGUUCACUGGAAGAAGGCAAAAGAAUGUAACGACUGGAGGAAGCUUAGCAGGCAUUCAACGUUGUAUAAACUGAUUCUCUAAGCUUUUUGGAGGAGGGUUUCUGAAUGCACGGCAUUGCUUCAACAAAGGUCAACACAUGAGGACCACAUCGGUGGUAUACCUUGUCCUCCAGAUUCCAAUUGGGUUUUGCAAAUGGCGGAAAGGAGAAGAAUGAGAAUCACAACUGGCGGUGCCUACAAGGUACAUCCCAGCUUGCUGGAAAAUUUUUUUUUCACAAGGCUCUAAAGGAGAAGCUGUUUCCUUGCUGUUUUCAGCUUUGAGAGGCUGCCUGCAUUCUUCCGCCGUGACUCCUCCUUCCAUCUUGAAACCCAGCAGCAUAGCAUCUACAAAUCUCUCUCACCUCUGAUUCCAAGGGAUAAGGAUAUCACCUACCUUGUUGGGUUGCUGAGAUAACUGGAUGAGUUAACGUACAACAGUGCCUGGAAUGUAGUGAGCACGGAAUAACAGAGGAGAUUUUUACCCUCCUAUUGCAAGAAGUUUAAUCUUCAUACAAGGUGAUGGGUUGAUACAUAAAUUGAGAGUGAAGUCAAGAUCUCCUCACUUCCUGAGAGGUAUUAAGUUUCUGGCUAGACUUUGACUGGAGCUGUGUCUACCACAGACCACGCCUCCAAAUGUUGCUGCUGACCAAGUCCCCAAAUGAAAAGGAAACCUCAAGUAAGUCGGCUAGAUGUCCAUCUAGAAAACACCACUGAGAUAGACAGGUUGACAACUUGAUUAUGUAGACAAGAUGUCAUAUUAACAAUUAAUAGCCUGUGAUAUUAACAAAUGGGGUUAAUGACAUUAACAAAAAGGAGUAUUUAGAAGAGAAUGUCUGCUCUCGGUCUAGGUACUUCUGCUUAUAAUCUUCUCAUGUCUCUUUUCCUUUUUUGUUGCAAAAUCUCUCUGUUUAGUGGUGUGAUUCACCCUUCCCAUCAUGCUCUGCUUGAGUUGAAUGACCUGACAUUAUCCACCUUUCCCUGAAUGAUGCAGAAAUCCAUAAGAUCCUGUAUCUAGGACUUUUCCAAGGCACCAUGGCCCAAAUCCCAAGUACCGGGUUGGAUCUCAAUGUUUGCCCACCAUCCAUAUUCCAACCUCCUAGUUAUCAAAGGAAGAAGAAAUAGGAAAAGAAUGUCAAAGACCAUGGAAAAUCUAAACAUCAAGUGAAUUUUAAAAGGCUAAGCCCAUCAAAGGACACAAUCAACAGAGCUUGAUCCGUGUCUUCCCCAAGAGGCAGCAAGGAGAAGCAGCCAAGGGAAGCAGGAGAGGCUCAGUAUCCUCUUUUGGAUGCUGCCCCUAAGAACAAACCCCUCCCACGUUUUCUACCUUACGCAGAAGAAAAUCUGAGCAACACAGUCUCAUGUGUUUCCUGUGUAUCCCAUAGGGGUAUGGUCCAGUCUCUCUCUCUCUGGAAAAGGCUACAUUUUUCUCUUAGAUUAAAGUCGCCACUUCGGAAACCCAUUUUAUUUUUGAGGACGAUUAGCCCUGAGCUAACAUCUGCCACAAAUCCUCCUCUUUUUGCAGAGGAAGAUUGGCUCUGAGCUAACAUCUGUGCUCAUCUUUGUCUAUUUAAUAUGUGGGAUGCAUGCCACAGCAUGGCUUUGUAAGGGAUGCGUAGGUCCGCAACCGGGAUAUGAACCAGUGAACCCUGGGCUGCUGAAACAGACUGCUCGAAUUUAACCACUAUGCCACCGGACUGGCCCCUGGAAAACCUUUUGAAAUUCCCUACUUUUAAAACUACACACAUGUCUAGCCUAUGACCUUGUAUUUCCAUUCCAUAGAUAAAUGGGUAUCUUUGUCUACCAAAUGAGAAGAAUAAGAAUUUCAUAGAAGUCUUAUUCAUAAUAGCUAAAAACUAGAACCCAAACAUCUGUCUACAGUAGAAUGGAUAAAUUGCAGAAUAUUAAUAAAGGGGAAUUCCAUGCAACAAUAAAAGAGAAUAUCUGCCAUAAGCAACAGCACAGUUGGACCUCACAGACAUAGUAACGAACGAGUGAAAGAAGCUAGCCACAGAAGAGUACACACACUGUAUGAUUCAAUUAUGUGAAAUUCAGGAACAGGAGAAACUCAACUGCGGUGGCAAAAAGCAGAAUAUUGGUUACCUGAUUUGGGGGGUCAGGCAGGGCCAGUAGGUAAGAACUUAGGAAGGGGCACAAAGGAUCCCUCUGGGGUGUUGAAAAUAUUCCAUAUAUAUGUAAAAAUCCAUUGAUUUCUGCACUUAAGAUUUGUGUAUGGAUCUACACUUCAAUAAACCUUUUUUAUAAAUGAUCAUUGACUCUUUCCUCCCAACAGCUGGAAAUUGCUAGAAUUAUGUAUACGGUGGUGUUUCAGUCUACUGCUCUUUCCCUUAGCAGCCACCCACUUUGGGUUCUCCAUGUUUUUUUCAUAAGGGAGUCCCUCUUAGGAAAGCCGGUAUUUUGACCACAACAAAAUAUUUUGAAGUAAGAAUUGAAACACAAAUUUACAGAAACAUUUUAACAAAAAACCGUUUUCAUUAUACAUGCAAAUUCAGGACAGAUGUGGUCAGAGGAAUAACCCAAGUCCACCCACCACUAGAAGAAAAGUAAAACUUAAUAAGAAUUUUUGAAAUAUUGUAAUGAUUUUCUCCCUGGCUUCUAGUCAAGACUGCAACAGAAAUUCAGAAAUGCCACCAGAAAGGCCUCUCCGGGUACAUGUGACUAGAAUUCUCAGACAGUACUGAGUGGCUGGGGAAACCUCACAGAGCUUUGA